UUAAUUGAAACCAAAAAGAGGUAUAUCACUGUUAAUGAUAAAAUUGAGAAAAAUCUCCAAUUAAA
This 65-nucleotide transfer RNA is filed under the name Cucujoidea sp. 43 KM-2017. RNAcentral's name for it is "tRNA-Asn". The record is from RNAcentral. Lineage: Eukaryota; Metazoa; Arthropoda; Insecta; Coleoptera.